This 467-nucleotide ribosomal RNA is filed under the name uncultured bacterium. RNAcentral's name for it is "partial 16S ribosomal RNA". It matches the Rfam family "Bacterial small subunit ribosomal RNA", at positions 28 to 507 of the family's 1533-position model. The record is from RNAcentral.
GACGAACGCUGGCGGCGUGCUUAACACAUGCAAGUCGAACGGAAAAGCCUCUUUCGGGGGGUACUCGAGUGGCGAACGGGUGAGUAACACGUGAGUAACCUUCCCUUGACUUUGGGAUAACUUCAGGAAACUGCGGCUAAUUCCGGCUAGGAGCUCCUGCUGCAUGGUGGGGGUUGGUCAGUUUCGGCGGUUGGGGAUUGACUCGCGGCUUAUCAGCUUGUUGGUGGGGUAGUGGCUUACCAAGGCUUUGACGGGUAGCCGGCCUGAGAGGGUGACCGGCCGCAGUGAGACUGAGAGAAGGCCGAGACGCCUACGGGAGGCAGAAGGGGGGAAGAUUGAACAAGGGGUGGAAGCCGGAUGAAGAAACGCCGUGGGCGGGAGAACGGUCUUCGGGUGGAAGACCGCUUUCGCUCAUGACGAAGCGUGGUGUGACGGUAGUGGGUAAAGAAGCACCGGCUAACUACGUG